GCAGUCGAAACGGUAACAGGUCUUCGGAUGCUGACGAGUGGCGAACGGGUGAGUAAUACAUCGGAACGUGCCUAGUAGUGGGGGAUAACUACUCGAAAGAGUAACUAAUACCGCAUGAGAUCUACGGAUGAAAGCAGGGGACCUUNGGGCCUUGUGCUACUAGAGCGGCUGAUGGCAGAUUAGGUAGUUGGUGGGGUAAAGGCUUACCAAGCCUGCGAUCUGUAGCUGGUCUGAGAGGACGACCAGCCACACUGGGACUGAGACACGGCCCAGACUCCUACGGGAGGCAGCAGUGGGGAAUUUUGGACAAUGGGCGAAAGCCUGAUCCAGCAAUGCCGCGUGCAGGAUGAAGGCCCUCGGGUUGUAAACUGCUUUUGUACGGAACGAAAAGCCUGGGGCUAAUAUCCCCGGGUCAUGACGGUACCGUAAGAAUAAGCACCGGC
RNAcentral lists this ribosomal RNA (443 nucleotides) under uncultured bacterium. RNAcentral describes it as "bacterial SSU rRNA". It matches the Rfam family "Bacterial small subunit ribosomal RNA", at positions 57 to 497 of the family's 1533-position model. The record is from RNAcentral.